GUGCAGCAGUCGCGAAACCUCCGCAAUGCGGGCAACCGCGACGGGGGACCCCAGUGCCGUGGCAUCGCCACGGCUUUUCCGGAGUGUAAAAAGCUCCGGGGAUAAGGGCUGGGCAAGGCCGGUGGCAGCCGCCGCGGUAAUACCGGCGGCCCGAGUGGUGGCCGCUAUUAAUUGGGCCUAAAAGCGUCCGUAGCCGGGCCUGUAAGUCCCUGGCGAAAAUCCCACGGCUCAACCGUGGGGCUUGCUGGGGAUACUGCAGGCCUUGGGACCGGAGAGGCCGGGGGUACCCCUGGGGGUAGGGGUGAAA
Molecule: ribosomal RNA, 307 nt
Filed under: uncultured microorganism
Description: bacterial SSU rRNA
Rfam family: Archaeal small subunit ribosomal RNA
Source: RNAcentral